GUGAACGCUGGCGGUAGGCCUAACACAUGCAAGUCGAACGGCAGCACCGUAGGAGCUUGCUCUUACGGGUGGCGAGUGGCGGACGGGUGAGGAAUACAUCGGAAUCUACUUUUUCGUGGGGGAUAACGUAGGGAAACUUACGCUAAUACCGCAUACGACCUACGGGUGAAAGCAGGGGAUCUUCGGACCUUGCGCGAUUGAAUGAGCCGAUGUCGGAUUAGCUAGUUGGCGGGGUAAAGGCCCACCAAGGCGACGAUCCGUAGCUGGUCUGAGAGGAUGAUCAGCCACACUGGAACUGAGACACGGUCCAGACUCCUAAGGGAGGCAGCAGUGGGGAAUAUUGGACAAUGGGCGCAAGCCUGAUCCAGCCAUACCGCGUGGGUGAAGAAGGCCUUCGGGUUGUAAAGCCCUUUUGUUGGGAAAGAAAAGCAGCAGGUUAAUACCCCGCUGUUCUGACGGUACCCAAAGAAUAAGCACCGGCUAACUUCGUG
Molecule: ribosomal RNA, 491 nt
Filed under: uncultured bacterium
Lineage: Bacteria
Description: partial 16S ribosomal RNA
Rfam family: Bacterial small subunit ribosomal RNA
Source: RNAcentral